RNAcentral lists this ribosomal RNA (588 nucleotides) under uncultured bacterium. Its description in RNAcentral is "partial 16S ribosomal RNA". It matches the Rfam family "Bacterial small subunit ribosomal RNA", at positions 355 to 1375 of the family's 1533-position model. The record is from RNAcentral.
UGGGGAAUAUUGCACAAUGGGCGCAAGCCUGAUGCAGCCAUGCCGCGUGUGUGAAGAAGGCCUUCGGGUUGUAAAGCACUUUCAGCGAGGAGGAAGGUGGUGAACUUAAUACGUUCAUCAAUUGACGUUACUCGCAGAAGAAGCACCGGCUAACUCCGUGCCAGCAGCCGCGGUAAUACGGAGGGUGCAAGCGUUAAUCGGAAUUACUGGGCGUAAAGCGCACGCAGGCGGUUUGUUAAGUCAGAUGUGAAAUCCCCGGGCUCAACCUGGGAACUGCAUUUGAAACUGGCAAGCUAGAGUCUCGUAGAGGGGGGUAGAAUUCCAGGUGUAGCGGUGAAAUGCGUAGAGAUCUGGAGGAAUACCGGUGGCGAAGGCGGCCCCCUGGACGAAGACUGACGCUCAGGUGCGAAAAGCGUGGGGCAGCAAACAGGAUUAGAUACCCUGGUAGUCCACGCUGUAAACGAUGUCGAUUUGGAGGUUGUGCCCUUGAGGCGUGGCUUCCGGAGCUAACGCGUUAAAUCGACCGCCUGGGGAGUACGGCCGCAAGGUUAAAACUCAAAUGAAUUGACGGGGUCAUAGCUGUUUCCU